Molecule: non-coding RNA, 74 nt
Organism: Parelaphostrongylus tenuis
Lineage: Eukaryota; Metazoa; Nematoda; Chromadorea; Rhabditida; Metastrongylidae
Source: the annotation of a GenBank genome assembly
GCCUCGGUGGUGUGGUGGUAGUAGCAAGUGUCCCUGGUAUGGAAGGAACGCAGGUUCGAUUCCCGCCUAAGGUC